Molecule: ribosomal RNA, 497 nt
Filed under: uncultured bacterium
Lineage: Bacteria
Description: partial 16S ribosomal RNA
Rfam family: Bacterial small subunit ribosomal RNA
Source: RNAcentral
GACGAACGCUGGCGGCGUGCCUAAUACAUGCAAGUAGAACGCUGAAGAGAGGAGCUUGCUCUUCUUGGAUGAGUUGCGAACGGGUGAGUAACGCGUAGGUAACCUGCCUUGUAGCGGGGGAUAACUAUUGGAAACGAUAGCUAAUACCGCAUAACAAUGGAUGACACAUGUCAUUUAUUUGAAAGGGGCAAUUUCUCCACUACAAGAUGGACCUGCGUUGUAUUAGCUAGUAGGUGAGGUAAUGGCUCACCUAGGCGACGAUACAUAGCCGACCUGAGAGGGUGAUCGGCCACACUGGGACUGAGACACGGCCCAGACUCCUACGGGAGGCAGCAGUAGGGAAUCUUCGGCAAUGGGGGCAACCCUGACCGAGCAACGCCGCGUGAGUGAAGAAGGUUGUCGGAUCGUAAAGCUCUGUUGUAAGUCAAGAACGGGUGUGAGAGUGGAAAGUUCACACUGUGACGGUAGCUUACCAGAAAGGGACGGCUAACUACGUG